RNAcentral lists this ribosomal RNA (399 nucleotides) under uncultured bacterium. Its description in RNAcentral is "partial 16S ribosomal RNA". It matches the Rfam family "Bacterial small subunit ribosomal RNA", at positions 359 to 776 of the family's 1533-position model. The record is from RNAcentral.
UAUAUUGGACAAUGGGCGCAAGCCUGCUCCAGCCAUGCCGCGUGAGUGAUGAAGUCCCGAGGGUUGUAAAGCUCUUUUGUCCGGGCCGAUACUGACGGUACCGGAAAAAUAAGCCCCGGCUAACUUCGUGCCAGCAGCCGCGGUACUACGAAGGGGGCUAGCGUUGCUCGGGAUCACUGGGCGUAAAGGGCGCGUAGGCGGACGUUUAAGUGAGGGGUGAAAUCCCGCGGAUCAACCAAGGAAUGGCCUUUGAUACAGGAUGUCUCGAGACCGGAAGAGGUAAGUGGAACUGCGAGUGUAGAGAUGAACUUCGUAGAUAUUCGCAAGAACAGCAGUGGCGAAGGCGGCUUACUGGUCCGGUUCUGACGCUGAGGCGCGAAAGCGUGGGGAGCAAACAGG